Molecule: non-coding RNA, 119 nt
Organism: Ciona savignyi (Pacific transparent sea squirt)
Lineage: Eukaryota; Metazoa; Chordata; Ascidiacea; Phlebobranchia; Cionidae
Source: Rfam
GCUUAUCACCAUUCCAGAUUGAAUAUACCCGAUCUCGUCUGAUCUCGGAAGUCAAGCAAUCUCGGGCUUGGUUAGUACUAGGAUGGGUGACCGCUUGGGAAUACCAAGUGUGGUAAGCA